UCUCCCCUUCACAGCAAACACUCUAAACUCUCUCCCUCUCUCAUUUCUCUCUUUCUCUCUCUAGAGAUCUUGCCCUAGAGCAAGGAGGAGGAGGAAAAGAAGGUGUUGAAGGAGAUUUUGGUGGUUCUAGGAGCUCUCCCACAAGGAGGACUUAGUAGAGCUUGGGAUUAGAGGUGAGUUCUUGCAAGAUUACUUCUAGG
This 200-nucleotide long non-coding RNA is filed under the name Ananas comosus (pineapple). RNAcentral's name for it is "long non-coding RNA (ACOM_LNC035084)". The record is from RNAcentral. Lineage: Eukaryota; Viridiplantae; Streptophyta; Magnoliopsida; Poales; Bromeliaceae.